AUUGAACGCUGGCGGCAUGCUUUACACAUGCAAGUCGAACGGUAACAGGCCGCAAGGUGCUGACGAGUGGCGAACGGGUGAGUAAUGCAUCGGAACGUGCCCAGUCGUGGGGGAUAACUACUCGACAGAGUAGCUAAUACCGCAUACGAUCUAUGGAUGAAAGCGGGGUACCGUAAGGCCUCGCGCGAUUGGAGCGGCCGAUGUCAGAUUAGGUAGUUGGUGGGGUAAAGGCUCACCAAGCCAACGAUCUGUAGCUGGUCUGAGAGGACGACCAGCCACACGGGGACUGAGACACGGCCCAGACGCCUAAGGGAGGCAGCAGUGGGGAAUGUGGGACAAUGGGCGCAAGCAUGAUCCAGCAAUGCCGCGUGCAGGAAGAAGGCCUUCGGGUUGUAAACUGCUUUUGUACGGAACGAAACGGCUCUGGUUAAUACCCGGGGCUAAUGACGGUACCGUAAGAAUAAGCACCGGCUAACUACGUG
This 482-nucleotide ribosomal RNA is filed under the name uncultured bacterium. Its description in RNAcentral is "partial 16S ribosomal RNA". It matches the Rfam family "Bacterial small subunit ribosomal RNA", at positions 29 to 507 of the family's 1533-position model. The record is from RNAcentral.